GACGAACGCUGGCGGCGGGCUUAACACAUGCAAGUCGAACGGAAAGGCCCUGCUUUUGUGGGGUGCUCGAGUGGCGAACGGGUGAGUAACACGUGAGUAACCUGCCCUUGACUUUGGGAUAACUUCAGGAAACUGGGGCUAAUACCGGAUAGGAGCUCCUGCUGCAUGGUGGGGGUUGGAAAGUUUCGGCGGUUGGGGAUGGACUCGCGGCUUAUCAGCUUGUUGGUGGGGUAGUGGCUUACCAAGGCUUUGACGGGUAGCCGGCCUGAGAGGGUGACCGGCCACAUUGGGACUGAGAUACGGACCAGAGUCCUACGGGAGGCAGCAGUGGGGAAUAUUGCACAAUGGGCGGAAGCCUGAUGCAGCAACGCCGCGUGCGGGAUGACGGCCUUCGGGUUAUAAACCGCUUUCGCCUGUGACGAAGCGUGAGUGACGGUAAUGGGUAAAGAAGCACCGGCUAACUACGUG
RNAcentral lists this ribosomal RNA (468 nucleotides) under uncultured bacterium. RNAcentral's name for it is "partial 16S ribosomal RNA". It matches the Rfam family "Bacterial small subunit ribosomal RNA", at positions 28 to 507 of the family's 1533-position model. The record is from RNAcentral.